CGCAGCCAUCCCAUCUUCCUUUCGCUUCUUCUCUCUCUUCCAUUUUUAUGCAAGGUCAAGUUUUACUUUAGCCAAGGACAAACUUUGCCCUUCCAUUUUUUAGCAAGUUCAUUGUCUCUCCUUUUCUUCAACGAUUUAGUCAACAAAAGAUACCAAAGAACUUUUUUUUUAAUUCUGAUUUUUGUGCAGAAAAUCACUAGAGCAGAGAUUCAAACAACUUUUUUUUAAUCCAAGAUCGGCCCGUGACCCUCCUCUGCCAAAGGAUUUUGAAUUUUAAAAUCAGGAACAUGAACCCUAGAUCAAUACUUUUCACCUAUAAAUACAUCCUAAAGUUUCAGCCAAGAUCCAUCGGAAAAUCCCUUCUAAAAAUCAAUUUUUACCACCUAAAAGGUAUCUCCGAGCUAAUUCAAAAAGGAAUAGAUCUGAAGCCUUGCAAGCCCCAAGUUCACUGCCUCGCGGAAGCGACAUGGAGUCUUAAUGCAAGACUCUUCCUACCCGCAUAAGAGUUAUCACAAACUAUCCUCUUUAAUCGCAUUGGACAAGAAGAAAACAAGCAAAUUUGCUUGGGGUCGCCUAUGGCGGUUUUCAUUAUUCUUUACUUACUUUGUCUAAAUUUUUGUUAGUUCAUGUGAUUUGAUUUGGUUUGGAAUUCGUUUUAUUAUUGAGGAUUAAUUUUAUCGUGUAAA
Nicotiana attenuata is the source of this 686-nucleotide long non-coding RNA. RefSeq lists it as uncharacterized. NCBI's taxonomy places the organism in Eukaryota, Viridiplantae, Streptophyta, Magnoliopsida, Solanales, Solanaceae. The record is from RefSeq and is a predicted model, not a curated record. The transcript has 2 exons.